GUCUUUUAAUUGGAGGCUGGAAUGAAUGGUUGGACAAGGGGGAAGCUGUCUCUUUUUACAAUUUUUGAAUUUUACUUUUAAGUGAAAAGGCUUAAAUAAUUUGGGGGGACGAUAAGACCCUAUAAAAUUUUACAAAAUUGGGAUUUUUUUUUGAAUUAAGGUUUAAAUUCUAUAAGUUCUUAUUUGUUUUGUUGGGGCGGCAAAGAUAAAA
RNAcentral lists this ribosomal RNA (211 nucleotides) under Pandalus borealis (northern shrimp). RNAcentral's name for it is "partial 16S ribosomal RNA". Lineage: Eukaryota; Metazoa; Arthropoda; Malacostraca; Decapoda; Pandalidae. The record is from RNAcentral.